RNAcentral lists this ribosomal RNA (303 nucleotides) under uncultured bacterium. RNAcentral's name for it is "partial 16S ribosomal RNA". It matches the Rfam family "Bacterial small subunit ribosomal RNA", at positions 507 to 807 of the family's 1533-position model. The record is from RNAcentral.
AGCAGCCGCCGCGGUAAUACGAAGGGUGCAAGCGUUAAUCGGAAUUACUGGGCGUAAAGCGUGCGUAGGCGGUUUGUUAAGUCUGCUGUGAAAUCCCCGGGCUCAACCUGGGAAUGGCAGUGGAUACUGGCAAGCUAGAGUGUGUCAGAGGAUGGUGGAAUUCCCGGUGUAGCGGUGAAAUGCGUAGAGAUCGGGAGGAACAUCAGUGGCGAAGGCGGCCAUCUGGGACAACACUGACGCUGAGGCACGAAAGCGUGGGGAGCAAACAGGAUUAGAUACCCCUGUAGUCCCUGUCUCUUAUAC